ACUCAAAGGAAUUGACGGGGGCUCGAACAAGCGGUGGAACAUGUGGUUUAAUUCGAUAGUAACCGAUAAACCUUACCAACUCUUGACAUGUAAUUGAAUCAUGGCUUCAAGGCUAUGAGCCUUUUUGGCAAUUACACAGGUGCUGCAUGGCCGUCGUCAGCUCGUGCCGUGAGGUGUUGGGUUAAGUCACUUAACGAGCGCAACCCUUGCCACUAUUUGCCAGCGGUUUGGCCGGGGACUAUAGUGGGACUGCAUGCGUAAAGCAUGAGGAAGGUGAGGAUAACGCCAGGUCAUCAUGUCCUUUAUGAGUUGGGCUACACACAUGUUACAAUGGUUGAUACAAAGUGUUGCAAGCUAGUAAUGGUAAGCUAAUCACAAAAAAUCAAUCUCAGUUCGGAUUGAGGUCUGAAACUCGACCUCAUGAAGUUGGAAUCGCUAGUAAUCGUAGAUCAGAAUGCUACGGUGA
This 466-nucleotide ribosomal RNA is filed under the name Ctenophora environmental sample. RNAcentral's name for it is "partial Bacterial small subunit ribosomal RNA". It matches the Rfam family "Bacterial small subunit ribosomal RNA", at positions 899 to 1365 of the family's 1533-position model. Lineage: Eukaryota; Metazoa; Ctenophora. The record is from RNAcentral.